GAACGAUUGGCGCAGUGGUAGCGCACCUGAUUCCAGUCCAGGCGGUCAUCCGUUCGAUCCGGAUAUCGUUCA
RNAcentral lists this transfer RNA (72 nucleotides) under Drepanopeziza brunnea f. sp. 'multigermtubi' MB_m1. RNAcentral describes it as "tRNA-Trp (CCA) (tRNA-Trp-CCA-2-1)". It matches the Rfam family "tRNA". From Rfam's summary of the family: Transfer RNA (tRNA) molecules are approximately 80 nucleotides in length. Lineage: Eukaryota; Fungi; Ascomycota; Leotiomycetes; Helotiales; Drepanopezizaceae. The record is from RNAcentral.